Molecule: unclassified non-coding RNA, 201 nt
Filed under: Hevea brasiliensis (rubber tree)
Lineage: Eukaryota; Viridiplantae; Streptophyta; Magnoliopsida; Malpighiales; Euphorbiaceae
Source: RNAcentral
AGCAGACUUGGAUUCUUCCCGAAAACCAACAAUACCCUUGUCGGAAAACCCAGAUUUGGCAUCACAAUUUUCCCUGAUACGCUCAGAAACAUGGCGCAAAAGCUUAGUCCGAGAGUUCUCGCCAUCGGAGGCGAGAUCUUUGGGCUCGAACAUGCCUUGAAAUCAGGUGGUGAGAGAAGUGAAAAGGGAAAUUGAAAAUAG